UCAGAUUGGGGUCAUGCAAAGCUGGAGAACAUACUCCUGACCAUCCCUUMCAUCUUCUGAAGCCUUUGGCUCCAUCAGGGAAUUGAAGGCCCACCACUAUGAGCCUCCCRCUUACUCAAAAACUGCUGCAAAGGCUCUUUCCCACCACCUCUGCACAAGGAGAAUGUGUCAUUUUGGAAGAGCACUCUGUUAACCUGGGRCUAGUUCAUCUUGGUAAAUAACCCCAGCUGGUGACUGUAGCGUGACUCUUUCGCAGUAAGUGGCCAAGCGAAGCAUCCUGCAYGGAUCCAUGCAGUCCACUCGGUGGAAGUGGAGGUCACUCCAUUUGGUAGAGGCCUGUCUGGCGCAGAGGAAGAGACCACACAGAGGAGUCAAUGAAGAACAUUUCUGUCGGUAAAAAAAAAACCAUCAGCAACUACCUCAUGUAGAGAAGAGCUGACAUUCAGAGGAGCACCAUGCUGAAGAAUGCUGGAGACCAGCAUGCACAACACACAUACUGUGUUCAAAAAGCAUUAACCAAGGCUGACUAACCCAUUUUUAAUGCAACUCUCAUUUGUUCAUGCAAAAUUCAAAUUUAUGUUGAGCAUCCUGUUACUUAGAGCSUGGGUGCAGAGCUCUCUAAUAGGAUGUGUGAUGCUAGUAUAGGCAGGGCUUGCCUGGCUCAGCACUGCAAUCACAUCAGCCUCCUAUUUGCUUCUCACCACUGCCGUCCCUCAUUAGCUGGAAGCUUUCACCUUCAUCAUCACAGCUUCUCAKCUACAGGUCAAAUGCCUCAUUAUGAUCCUGAAAUUAAUUUUGCAAUGUUCCUAAACUUUGCCAUCCCUAUCACCUUCCCCCUCAACCGAGUGUCCAUUUGAUUUCCAUUUCACAGAAUGACAGAAUCACAGAUGGUUGAGGUUGGACGGGACCUYUAGAGAUCAUAUAGUCCAACCCCCUCUACCUGCGAUCACCAUUAUUUGUUCAGGGAACGCUAAAUCGUCACUAGGAGUCCUUAGUGCUGGCACUAUGACCACGUCUGGAAGCUCUUGCAGCUUUCCACAAGCGAUGGAGAUGGGUACCAGCAGGCUGACAGGAAGAGCACAAGGAAGAAAGUUUUCCCUGGCUCAAGCUCUUUGCCUCACCUUGCCAGCCUGUACACUGUAAGACAGGCUGUCSUUCCUACCCAUCUUUACAAUUCAUAGAUGCUCAUGCCACGGACUCAUCACAAAAUAUGGGUUGCCACCAUGAUGGGAAUGAUGGGUUGGAGUUGAUAAGGGAUGAAACUGGGUGACCUGCUGUGCUUUGGGGAGGCAGAGUCUGCAGGUUUGGCAGGACUCGCUCAAGUUUCAGCCUUGGCAUCCAGGUCUGUAUUUUAGGAAGCAGCCUGAGCUGGCUCCAUGGCAGAGAUCAAGCRGCAAUUAGAAAUAAAAUAGUAACAUAUGCCAACUAGGGAGGGAAAGAAAAAAGACCGCAAUUGUUCUCAAGCAGAAAUUGUGAAGUGCAGAAGACUGAUAGGGAAAAGAGAAUACACCAGGGACUAGAAAAGCUAGAAACAGUAAAGGAUUUUAAGAAUCUGGAAUGARGGAAAUUUGAGCAAUGAGACAGACUUAACAGAGAAGACAUAGAGCUUUGUAUAAGCUUUCAUGGAACGAGCGAUAUAUAUUGAACUGCAGAGCUGCAUCCUAUGGCCUUGUCCCCAGUCCCUCUAAAAUGCAAGGGGUCAGUGCAAGGAAGGCAACACCGAAAACUUUUGCCU
This is a long non-coding RNA of Nothoprocta perdicaria, 1735 nucleotides long. RefSeq lists it as uncharacterized. NCBI's taxonomy places the organism in Eukaryota, Metazoa, Chordata, Aves, Tinamiformes, Tinamidae. The record is from RefSeq and is a predicted model, not a curated record. The transcript has 2 exons.